RNAcentral lists this transfer RNA (98 nucleotides) under Xylaria arbuscula. It matches the Rfam family "tRNA". Rfam says of the family: Transfer RNA (tRNA) molecules are approximately 80 nucleotides in length. Their secondary structure includes four short double-helical elements and three loops (D, anti-codon, and T loops). Further hydrogen bonds mediate the characteristic L-shaped molecular structure. tRNAs have two regions of fundamental functional importance: the anti-codon, which is responsible for specific mRNA codon recognition, and the 3' end, to which the tRNAs corresponding amino acid is attached (by aminoacyl-tRNA synthetases). tRNAs cope with the degeneracy of the genetic code in two manners: having more than one tRNA (with a specific anti-codon) for a particular amino acid; and 'wobble' base-pairing, i.e. permitting non-standard base-pairing at the 3rd anti-codon position. Lineage: Eukaryota; Fungi; Ascomycota; Sordariomycetes; Xylariales; Xylariaceae. The record is from Rfam by way of RNAcentral.
UCCGAAUUGGUGUAGUGGCUAACAUUUGACGCUCUCAAUUAAUCGAUCUCGAUUAAUACGGAACCGUCAAGCCCGGGGUUCGAUUCCCCGAUUCGGAG